RNAcentral lists this transfer RNA (85 nucleotides) under Felis catus (domestic cat). It matches the Rfam family "tRNA". From Rfam's summary of the family: Transfer RNA (tRNA) molecules are approximately 80 nucleotides in length. Their secondary structure includes four short double-helical elements and three loops (D, anti-codon, and T loops). The record is from Rfam by way of RNAcentral. Lineage: Eukaryota; Metazoa; Chordata; Mammalia; Carnivora; Felidae.
GCCUGGGUGGCUCAGUUGGUUGAGUGUCCGACUUUGGCUCAGGUCAUGAUCUCACAGUUCAUGGGUUUGAGCCCCACUUCAGGCU